AUUGAACGCUGGCGGUAGGCCUAACACAUGCAAGUCGAACGAGUGGCGGACGGGUGAGUAAUACCUCGGAAUCUACUCUGUCGAGGGGGAUAACGUAGGGAAACUUACGCUAAUACCGCAUAAGAUUGAAUGUGCCGAUGUGGGAUUAGCUAGUUGGCGGGGUAAAGGCCCCCCAAGGCGACGAUCCGUAGCUGGUCUGAGAGGAUGAUCAGCCACACUGGAACUGAGACACGGUCCAGACUCCUACGGGAGGCAGCAGUGGGGAAUAUUGGACAAUGGGCGCAAUCCUGAUGCAGCCAUACCGCGUGGGUGAAGAAGGCCUUCGGGUUGUAAAGCCCUUUUGUUGGGAAAGCGGUACCCAAAGAAUAAGCACCGGCUAACUUCGUGCCAGCCGCCGCGGUAAUUC
RNAcentral lists this ribosomal RNA (406 nucleotides) under uncultured bacterium. RNAcentral's name for it is "partial 16S ribosomal RNA". It matches the Rfam family "Bacterial small subunit ribosomal RNA", at positions 30 to 526 of the family's 1533-position model. The record is from RNAcentral.